This 306-nucleotide unclassified non-coding RNA is filed under the name plant metagenome. Its description in RNAcentral is "partial contains 5.8S ribosomal RNA, internal transcribed spacer 2, and large subunit ribosomal RNA". The stretch from base 1 to 105 matches the Rfam family "5.8S ribosomal RNA", at positions 50 to 154 of the family's 154-position model. The record is from RNAcentral.
GAAAUGCGAUAAGUAAUGUGAAUUGCAGAAUUCAGUGAAUCAUCGAAUCUUUGAACGCACAUUGCGCCCGCCAGUAUUCUGGCGGGCAUGCCUGUCCGAGCUUCAUUUCAACCAUCAAGCCCCCGGGCUUGUGUUGGGGACCUGCGGCUGCCCGCAGGCCCUGAAAACCAGUGGCGGGCUCGCUGUCACACCGAGCGUAGUAGCAAUCACCUCGCUCAGGGCGUGCUGCGGGUUCCGGCCGUUAAACAGCCUUACAAAACCCAAGGUUGACCUCGGAUCAGGUAGGAAGACCCGCUGAACUUAAGC